RNAcentral lists this ribosomal RNA (468 nucleotides) under uncultured bacterium. RNAcentral describes it as "partial 16S ribosomal RNA". It matches the Rfam family "Bacterial small subunit ribosomal RNA", at positions 28 to 507 of the family's 1533-position model. The record is from RNAcentral.
GACGAACGCUGGCGGCGUGCUUAACACAUGCAAGUCGAACGGAAAGGCCCUGCUUUUGUGGGUUGCUCGAGUGGCGAACGGGUGAGUAACACGUGAGUAACCUGCCCUUGACUUUGGGAUAACUUCAGGAAACUGGGGCUAAUACCGGAUAGGAGCUCCUGCUACAUGGUGGGGGUUGGAAAGUUUCGGCGGUUGGGGAUAGACUCGCGGCUUAUCAGCUUGUUGGUGAGGUAGUGGCUUACCAAGGCUUUGACGGGUAGCCGGCCUGAGAGGGUAGACGGGCACAAGGGGACUGAGAGACGGCGCAGAAGGGAACGGGAGGCAGUGGGGGGGAGUAUGACGCAGUGAGGGGGAGCCUGAUGCAGCGACGCCGCGAGCGGGAUAACGGCCUUCGAGUGAUAAACAGAUUUGGCAGGUGACGAAGAGUGAGUGACGGUAAUGGGUAAAGAAGCACCGGCUAACUACGUG